GGGGAUGUUUGGUUUCGACAGGGUUGUAGGUCGGUCAGUUGCACGCCGAGGCGCCCGGGCCCUCGUAAAAACGGGCAAAACCAGUAACUGGCACACAGCCUGUUGCUCUCGCUGCCUAAGUCACUGACCUCUAGGUAGCGCGUCCAUCCGGACCUUUCCCUUCCGGGACCGGGGUUGGGCGUCACUUAGGAAGGGUGCGGCGGUCAAGUUUGCCAGAGCGCGAUCGCCAAAGGGAGUCUGGCUCACCGUCUGAGGACCCGGUCGAUGGGGGACUCUGGCGGCACGCAAAACAUCGACUAAGCGUGUAGGAUACUGGCGGCUGAAGGUUCUGGACGGGGGUUCGACUCCCCCCAUCUCCACCA
Molecule: transfer-messenger RNA, 362 nt
Filed under: Chloroflexota bacterium
Lineage: Bacteria; Bacillati; Chloroflexota
Rfam family: transfer-messenger RNA
About the family: Bacterial tmRNA, also known as 10Sa RNA or SsrA, is named for its dual tRNA and mRNA-like properties. Its role is to liberate the mRNA from a stalled ribosome.
Source: RNAcentral